Molecule: ribosomal RNA, 252 nt
Filed under: uncultured bacterium
Lineage: Bacteria
Description: partial 16S ribosomal RNA
Rfam family: Bacterial small subunit ribosomal RNA
Source: RNAcentral
UACGGAGGAUGCGAGCGUUAUCCGGAUUUAUUGGGUUUAAAGGGUGCGUAGGCGGGAUGCCAAGUCAGCGGUAAAAAUGCGGUGCUCAACGCCGUCGAGCCGUUGAAACUGGCGUUCUUGGGUGGGCGAGAAGUAUGCGGAAUGCGUGGUGUAGCGGUGAAAUGCAUAGAUAUCACGCAGAACUCCGAUUGCGAAGGCAGCAUGCCGGCGCCCUACUGACGCUGAGGCACGAAAGCGUGGGUAUCGAACAGG